UAAAUAUGAACUAUAAAGAUGUCCUUAACUC
Molecule: non-coding RNA, 31 nt
Filed under: Rattus norvegicus (Norway rat)
Lineage: Eukaryota; Metazoa; Chordata; Mammalia; Rodentia; Muridae
Source: RNAcentral